UUAAGUUAAUAAGGGCGCAUGGUGGAUGCCUUGGCACUAGAAGGCGAUGAAGGACGUGACUAACUACGAUAUGCCUCGGUUAGCUGUAAGUAAGCUUACCCGGGGGUUUCCGAAUGGGGCAACCCGAUCUUAAUGAUCAUCAUCUUUUUGAAUUCAUAGAUUAGAUGAAGCAAACGCUGUGAACUGAAACAUCUCAGUAGCAGUAGGAAAGUAAAGAAAUUUCGAUUCCGUCAGUAGCGGCGAGCGAACGCGGAAGAGCCCAAACCUGGAUGCUUGCAUCCAGGGGUUGUAGGACUGAUGUUGAGUUACAAAGGUAUAAGAUAGCAGAAACAGUUGGGAAGCUGUUCCAAAGAGGGUGACAGGCCCGUAUGCGAAAUCUUGUACUCUCUAAUCAGGAUCCUGAGUACGGCCCAGCACGUGAAAUUGGGUCGGAAUCUGGGAGGACCAUCUCCCAAGGCUAAAUACUAACUAGUGACCGAUAGCGAACAAGUACCGUGAGGGAAAGGUGAAAAGAACCCCGGAAGGGGAGUGAAAUAGUUCUUGAAACCGUGUGCUUACAAGAAGUUCGAGGCCGUUAAUGGCUGAGAGCGUGCUUUUUGUAGAAUGAACCGGAGAGUUACGAUUGCGUGCAAGGUUAAGGUGCAAAGACUGGAGCCGUAGCGAAAGCGAGUCUUAAUAGGGCGAAUCAGUACGUAGUUGUAGACCCGAAACCGAGUGACCUAUCCAUGGUCAGGUUGAAGGUGGGGUAAUACCUACUGGAGGACCGAACAAGUGGGUGUUAAAAAACCCUUUGAUGAACUGUGGAUAGCGGUGAAAUUCCAAUCGAACUCGGAGAUAGCUGGUUCUAUCCGAAAUACAUUUAGGUGUAGCCUUGCAAUUAGCUUACUGGAGGUAGAGCACUAUUUGGUCUAGGGGCCCUUCAAGGGUUACCAAAAUCAGAUAAACUCCGAAUGCCAGCUAAGUAUGUGCAGGAGUCAGACGGUGAGUGAUAAGAUCCAUCGUCGAAAGGGGAACAGCCCAGAUCACCAGUUAAGGUCCCUAAAUAUAUGCUAAGUGGAAAACGUUGUGAAGGUGCAUAGACAACUAGGAGGUUGGCUCAGAAGCAGCCACCCUUUAAAGAGUGCGUAAUAGCUCACUAGUCGAGUGCUCUUGCGCGGAUAAUGUACCGGGGCUAAGCAUAUUACCGAAACUGUGGAUGCGUAAGCAUGGUAGGAUAGCGUAAUUAACGCGAUGAAGGAUGACCGUAAGGACAUGUUGGAGCGUUAACUAGUGAGAAUUCCGGUAUGAGUAGCGAAAGAUAGGUGAGAAUCCUAUCCACCGAAUGAGUAAGGUUUCCCCCGGAAGGCUCGUCCGCGGGGGGUUAGUCGGGACCUAAGGCGAGGCUGAAAAGCGUAGUCGAUGGACAACAGGUUGAUAUUCCUGUACCGAUAUUUAAUUGCCGAAGGAAGGACGCAGAAGGAUAACACAGGCCACUAUUGGAUGUGGUUUUAAACAGUUAGUCUUCAUAAGAGUCAAAUGCUUUUAUGUUUAAGGAUAAGCUGUGAAUGUACCAAGUUUACUUGGAAAUUGUGUGAUUUCACGCUGCUGAAAAAAGUUUCGUAGGAAGAAAAUAUUGCCCGUACCGCAAACCGACACAGGUACUCGAGUGGAGAACACUAAGGUGAGCGAGUGAACUAUUGUUAAGGAACUCUGCAAAAUGAGUCCGUAACUUCGGAAGAAGGACUGCUGGUUUUAUACCAGCCGCAGCAAAUAGGCCCAAACAACUGUUUAUCAAAAACACAGGUUUCUGCAAAAUCGUAAGAUGAAGUAUAGGGGCUGACGCCUGCCCAGUGCUGGAAGGUUAAAAGGAGGACUUAGCUUCGGCGAAGGUCUUAAUUGAAGCCCCAGUGAACGGCGGCCGUAACUAUAACGGUCCUAAGGUAGCGAAAUUCCUUGUCGGGUAAGUUCCGACCCGCAUGAAAGGCGUAAUGAUUUGGGCGCUGUCUCAACAAUAGACUCGGUGAAAUUUAAAUUCCAGUGAAGAUGCUGGGUACCCGCGACAGGACGGAAAGACCCCGUGGAGCUUUACUGUAGCUUGAUAUUGAAUGUUUGUGCUGCAUGUGCAGGAUAGGUAGGAGACUUUGAAGUCGGAACGCUAGUUUCGAUUGAGUCACCCUUGAGAUACUACCCC
This 2170-nucleotide ribosomal RNA is filed under the name Oenococcus oeni. Its description in RNAcentral is "ribosomal RNA 23s ribosomal RNA". It matches the Rfam family "Bacterial large subunit ribosomal RNA", at positions 3 to 2206 of the family's 2925-position model. Lineage: Bacteria; Bacillati; Bacillota; Bacilli; Lactobacillales; Lactobacillaceae. The record is from RNAcentral.